This 73-nucleotide transfer RNA is filed under the name Thermoplasmatales archaeon. Its description in RNAcentral is "tRNA-Trp". It matches the Rfam family "tRNA". From Rfam's summary of the family: Transfer RNA (tRNA) molecules are approximately 80 nucleotides in length. Their secondary structure includes four short double-helical elements and three loops (D, anti-codon, and T loops). The record is from RNAcentral. Lineage: Archaea; Methanobacteriati; Thermoplasmatota; Thermoplasmata; Thermoplasmatales.
GGGGGUAUAGGCUAACCUGGUAGACUGGCGGGCUCCAGACCCGCUGGUGCGAGUUCAAAUCUCGCUGCCCCCA